UGCUCUCUCUUUGGCAAUCUCAUCCACUUUCUCACAUACUUCUUUGAUCUUGAGGGCAAUGUCGCGACGUCGAGCCACUUGAGUGAGACAAAAGCAAGGAGAUCCCAGGAAGGAACAUCGUAUCUGCUGUAGGCUGUGAUUAUUUUCUUCAGCAUCCCUCAUUUUUCAUGUAAGAAUUGCAGAGCUCCAUUCAUCUAGCACAUCAUCGAUAUCAUAGCAUACAUCUUUGAGCUUGUCUAGCCAAUCUCUUGCAACCUUAUCCUUCACUUGCUUUCUAUCUGCAUCUUCAAGGACAGAUUGGAUAGCAAGGAGAUUGCUUUUCAGCUUGUCGACUUGUUUCUGCACACCCCCUACUAGGUUCACCUCUUCCUGUACCUAUUGGUGUAGAAAAGAUAAGAAAGUUGAAGCAGAGGAAACAUUUCUAUGAUUUCUUUACAAGUUUUUAAUUUUAAUUUUUGGUAAUGAAUAGAUUAGCAGUAGUUGACACGUACUGCGAAAUGGAUUGGCUAUAUUAAUAAUUUAUACAUAAAAUAUUUAUUAAAAACCUAUAUAUUAAAAAUAAUAAUAUUUCUUUUUUGUUAUCAUCAUGAUGAUACCUGUCUGCACUCUUCCACUACAAAGAAAUAUAUAAAAGGAAUAAAAGGAAAGUGAAUAAAAGGAUCUGUAUUUGUUGGUAUUUGUAAAGUCCAUUGACAACUCAUUCUUUUUCCUUCUAAAGAUGUUUGAUUUGAGUAUUUGAGAUUUUAUUUUGUUUUUCUUAAAGGGAAGAAAAAAAGACUUCAUUUUUAUGUUUCUUAUUCAUGGUAGGUUAAUUAGGUCAUUGCAAAUUGUAUAAAAGCAAGUACCUGUUGAGCAACGAUCCUCGUUAACUGCUCCAAAAUUGGUGAUAAAAGUGCCUCUGCCAUUUGCCUGUUUAGUUUAAUUUUAUUUUAUUUUUAAAAAAGAGACAAUGAUGAGAGGAUGAACUGAGAGAGAGAGAGAGAAGAGAGUGUGAGGGGAAGGAGGCUGCUGGUUGUGAAAUGAAGAGAGAGGGUUAGUUUAUGUACUUGGGCCUUGGGGUUUGCUGAUGAGGGUUAAAGUUUUUUUUAGUCCCUGUAUGAUUUUUAACAUUUCAAUUUAGCCCCUAUAUUAUUGGACUUCUCAGUCUAGUCUCGGUCAGGGGUUACAUACUGAAAUGUAUCUGAUAUGGACACUGAUUAUAGCAUUAUACUGAAAUCCUUUCUUCUUCUUCUUCUUCUUUUUUUUUUUUUUUCACUCCUUUAUUAACGUGAUUUAAGGCACUUCUUUCGUUGUCUUUUUCUACUUUUUCAUAAUUUAAGGUACUUCUUUCUUGUUUUAGCUAGAAACAUAAUGCAAGACAAUUAGAAAAACAAAGGAAGAGUGUUUUCAAGAUUCAGGAAUCCGAGAGUGAAGAGCUGACAUGCAGAUGCAGGAACAUAGGAAGAGAGUUGUUUGGUUAUUAAAAUAAGGGCUAAGGUUAUGAAAUCUGGAAAUUGAAAGUCAGAUCUAAAUUACAGAGGAAAUCAGCUAACACCACCGGCGAAGUGAAUUCUUGCAUGACAGCAGCAGUUUCCCUCACAAGUUGUCUGACAGGAAUUGGUUCCUACAACCAUAAAAAUUCACAAGUUAGAACCUUCACGAUUUAACUCUUGGAUUUCACGCUAGAUUCAGCAGCGGUUGGGGUCAGAAUGACAUUGUUGGGAAGAAGACAACUAACAACAAGUCUUGUGAUACAGACAACCUCAAUAAGUACUUUCCAGAUGUAUUAUCUUAACCAGGUCAUCAAGCAUUAGAGGAAUUAUGUACAUGAGUUUGUUUAGAGACAUCAAAAGGAUGCCCAUACACCAUUCAUAAGAUAAGCCAUGGAAAUUUAACAACCUUAUCACUUAUCAGUGAAAUUAAAAGAAGAGCUGAAGAACAAACGUGGAGUUUUAUAUAACUAUAUUAUUUGAUAGUUUUAUCUAUAUUUAUCUAAUAUUUUAAAUAUGUUUUAUAUAUAAAAUAUCUUGAUAUUUUUUGUUUUAUAUCUUGAUAUUUUUUGUUUUAUAUUUUAAAAACACUUUUGAAUAUAAAAUUAAAAAAGAAGUAAAUUGAAGAUAAUUAACAGAUUUGAUCUCCAAUCAAUGAGAUUCAACUCUAGAAGUCGAAACGAAGUGAUUUCAAGGGCAUUAAAAAUCCAACAUCCAUACCUUUCUAUAUAUAUACGGCAAAAAAAAUAAAAAGAGAAAGAGCAUCGAGAUCGCAGCUUUCAAAGACAAAUCUGGCAUUUUAUCAGUGUUGAUCUUUGAUCAUUCUAACUUGAAUAUCUUGAGUUAGAGAAGUUUAUUUGAUGCAAACUCAAUUUUAUUGGAUUCCUGACUCAAAGAUCUAUCAUCAUACCAAAGUUCAGCAUAAAAAGAGCUCAUAUGAGAGAAAUAUAAUUUUUUCUAAGAUGCCACAUGAAUUCUACCAGUAGACAAGUUUUAUGAAGAAAUAAGUACAAAUUAAAUCCCAAAGCAUUCAAACCGACAUCCAAAUCUUUAUUUCGGCAAUUUAACUUCUCAAAGUCAAAAGUCAAAACUUGAAGAAAUUAUGCAAUACAAACACAAUUCUAAACAAAUAUAAUUUCAAAAUUUAAAAUAUUUCUAAGUAGUCAAAAUAGAUUUUUAACUUAAAGUAAUUCAAUUUAAACAAAAUAUCAAAAUAUUUUGAAAGUAAAAUAUUUUAACAAAAAUAUUUUAAAUAUAAAGUUAGGUCAAUGUUAUCAAGGCUAAUGGAAUCUAAAGUAUCCCUUAUUUUGCUCAAAUUCCUACAAAGUAUAAACAUAUAUAUAUAUAUAUAUAUAAACAUGAAUAUAAACCAUAUAUAUUAGUGAUAAAUCCAAUUUUAAAAAAUUAAUAUCAUUGUUAAUAAAAUAGUAAUAAUAAUUUUCAAUAUUAUUAUUAAUAUCAUUGUUAUUGAAAAUAGUAAUGAAAAAAAGCUUUUUAUUAUUAGGCAGUUUAAUUAAUUAAAUUGAACAAGGUUCAAUUUAAUUCAAUGACUUUUUAAGAACGGAACAUAACAUGUGGAAUGAAACCGGAACGUUCCGGGCGGAAUUUAGCUGAAAAAUCCGGAACGGACCGAGAUUUAAAAUGAGAUGAAAUUUGUUCCGUUUUGUUCUGUUUUUUGAAUUGGUAUGAAAUGUUUCGGCCCUGAUGAAACGAAAUGGAAUUGACAAUCUUGCUUCUAGAGAUAUCUUUAAGAGAGAGAGAGAGAGAGAUUACAAGUCAACAAUAAAUGAUUACAAAUGAUUUCAAUCCAAUUACAGUAAAGAGGUAUAUGAAACAUUAGGUGCAUAAACACAACAUUGAAUGAAAUCCUCCACGUAAACACCAAAGCAAACAAUUAAUACACUCAGAAUCAAAACGGAAGCCACUCUGUAGUAGCUCUUUAGUAUCUUCAAAGCCCAAGCUGUCAAACACACACCAAAAGCAUACGUGUCAUCACCAAAACAAUCCAAUGGAUGCCCUUCGAUUUGAUUCCAAAAAUAUUAUAACUUGGAAAAUCUUCAGAUGCACAUGUUAAAUAUAUCAUGUAAUGGUAAACAAGAAUUAGUAAAUAAAAAACAAAGUUAAUUAAUUUGUAUCUUUCUCCUCAUCCACUAACUCUUGCUUCUUUUUUUCCCAUGAAAAAACGGAGAGCCGAAAAUAGAUUUGUUAAAAAUUAAAAUUAUAAUCUCUACGCUAAUAAUUAUAAUAGUAAAAUCUUUUACAGUUAAGAAGUAACACUGGUAGUAGAAUUUACCUGUUAAUUCCUGUCGGUCCUACAGACUUCCGUAGAGGUCUUAACUAUAAAUAGAAAUGUUUGGGAUGCGAGAAAUCUUUUGCCAAUCUUCACCCAUCUCCUCCUUCCCGUAACGUUUCCUUAGAUUGCGGCAACCACUUAUGUCCAAUCCUGUAGAGGCGCUGCCAAAACAUAGUCUGGUAGUGCUCUCAACAACGGGCAAUAUCAAUAUCAACUCUCGAAGUUGUGGCAUAAUGGAUAUUAUUGAAGUUGUGUUGGCAUCUUCUUCUCCCACUCUCCUUCAAUUCCAUCCCACUCUUCUACUUCUUGAGAUCCAAAUAUAAGUUUUUUAAUUUGGGGAAAGCAGUGACCCUUGCAAUUUCUCCUUCAUUAAUACUGGCAUUCUCAUCUUUUUCUAUACCUAAAAAUCCAGCAUCCAGCCUUCUCACCUUCACCCAUCAAUACCAGGCUUUCAAGGUUGGGCAAUCUUCCCAACGGAGGCAAGACCUCCACGUUUUCACAAUCACAGUUAAGCCCUGUAAUCUGGUUAAUGUCAUCAUCCAAUUUGGCAAUCCAACCCUCCGUACUAUAUGGUUAGAUUUCCAAGUCUGACGGAGGCUGUAAAGCUUCAAUUAAAGAGCCUUCAUUCGCUUGCAACUCUGUUAUCUCUCUGUCGAAAAACAAUCCCAAACAACGCAGGCGUUUCUUAUUCUUGAGUUGUGCUUCUGCAGCGUCACUCGCAUCUUCUUUACCGACUCCUAGAUUCUGUAUCUGAAGACUACCUCCAAUGUGAUUUAAGUUUUUUAAUUCUCUCAGAUUAGCUGCUUUACUUCCAUUCUCACCACCACCACACACAGUAAACCGAUCUAAUGUUCGAAGACAUGUUAUCCUCUCUAUUCCCUUUGGUAUGAAGGCCACUUCUGAACCAUAAAUCCGGAGAUGCCUCAAUUUGAUAAGUUUUCCAAUAGCCUUGGGCAAUUCCUUGAGAGACCGACACCAAGUAACAUCUAGGGAUUGCAGAUUGCAUAAAUCACACAUGGUUUCUGGCAGGGAUUCCAACUGAAAACAAGAUGCCAGAUUGAGGUGUCUCAAAUGUAUCAAUUUCCCUACCUCGUUUGGUAUUUCUUUGAUUGAAGACCCUGACAAAUUCAAUGACCUGAUGCAUGUCAACUGCUUGAACAAAUCAGGCAGUGCAGCUCCAAGCGAAGGGUCUCUAGUGUCGAACAAUAGGCUGCGAAGACCUUUUGCUUUGUGAAUGGACACGGGAAAAGAGGUCUCCUCUGACAGCAUCAUGCUUAAAUGACGAACCCUUUCAAUUGAAGUCUCCACUGUUGCUUCUCCAAGUGUAUUGACAUCCACUGUUAGACAUUCAUUUUUUGUCAUAUAUUGGGCAAAAUCAUGCACUAUAUCAUGCAUCUUGAAUCUAAUAUGUUCUCGAUCAUACGUCUUAAAAUCUUGGAAGAAAGAGCGCGCUGCCAAGACUUGAAAGUAAUCCUCCCCAACAAGCUCCAUGUCUCUACUUGUAGUCUCCUUAAGGUAACCUUGAGCCAUCCACAUCUUCACCAAUUCAUCUUUUCAUCGUAGUCUUUUGGAAACAUGGCACAAUACAAGAAACAUCGUCUUACCACAGAAGGUAAAUCGUAGUAACUCAAAAGCAAAGGUAAAAUAGUCCCUCUUUCAACAUGUUCUAGCUCCCACAUUCGCUAGAUAAAACACGUUCCCACUCUUCUCUUGUUCUUUUAGACUGCAUUAGACCUCCUAAUACCUUGGCAGCUAGAGGCAAGCCCUUGCACUUGCUUGCAAUUUUAUCGCCGAUAUCUGUCAAUCUUUCGCGCUCAUCUUGCUUCUUUCCUGGAAUGCCACUGAUUGAAUAUUGACCUGCAUACCUCAUCAGACAAUUUCUCAAUGUUGAUCCGGUGGUCAGUUCCCAUCAUCGUUGCCACAGAAUGUUUACGAGUGGUCACUAGAAUUCUGCUUCCUCGUGCACAGCCUGUGAGAGAUGGUUUCAGUUGUUCCCAUUGUCCAUGAUUUUCUGUCCAGACAUCAUCAAGGACAAGAAGGAACCUCUUUCCCUUAAUGGAUUCAGAAACCCUUGCAAAAGGGAUUGCAAUUCAACCAAAUCGGCCCUCCCUUCAAGCUGCUCAAGGAUAGCUUUGGCUAUUCUAACCUCAUCAAAUGGUUCUGAAACACACACCCAUAUCUUUUUCUCAAAAUGAGCCGUAACCUCAGCAUCAUUAAAAGCUAGUUGGGCGAGAGUUGUUUUUCCAAUUCCGCCCAGCCCUACUAGAGAGAUGACAUCCACGUCCCGUGCUUCCUGACUACUUUCGCCAGCAACUUGCUUACAGCUUCCUUUUCACAUCUCGACCAUCACGCUUGAUUCAUCAACAAAGGAGGUACUUGUUAUUCGUUGGAGUUCAUCAGUGGCUUGUACAGAUCAAAGCCAUACAUAGCUCUCUCUUUGGCAAUCUCCACUUUUUCACAUACUUCUUUGAUCUUGAGGGCAAUGUCUCGACGUCGAACCACUUGAUUGAAACAAAAGCAAGGAGAUCUCAGGAAGGAACACCGUAUCUUCUGUCGGCUGUGAGUAUUUUCUUCAGAAUCCCCCAUUUUCCAUGUAAGAAUUGCAGAGCUCCAUUCAUCUAGCACGUCAUCCAUAUCAUAGCAUACAUCUUUGAGCUUGUCUACCCAAUCCCUUACAGCCUUAUCCUUCACUUGUUUUCUAUCUGCAUUUUCUCUAAAAUAAAAUGACUCGUAAAUAAUGUAAUGCUAAUGCCACUAUUAUUGUACUUAAAUUUACUAGAUGAGUGAAUUAAAAUAUAUUUUAUUUGAAUAUAGGAUUUCUUUAGAUAAAAGAAUUCAUAGAUAUUAUAAUAAUCAUAUAAUUAUGUAGCGCAAUACAUUGCAAUUUCACAAUAUUAUUAUGUGACUUUUAAUAGUUAUGCAUAGUCUAUUUUUAAAAAAAAUCUGUGAGGUUGAUCAAAAUAAAAAAGAAAUAUUAGAAUUUCUAUAAUCAUGUUUGUGAUCGAAUAUUUGACUAUAUUUAUUUUAAUCAUUUUAUCAUAAUAAUUUUAUUACAAAUAUAGUUAUUUAUGCAUUCAAAUAUGAUAAGGAAUUGUGAAAAAGGGAAUUUACUACUAUUUUACUAUAUUGAUUUGUUCUAACCAGCCAUCACAAUAACCAUAUUUUGUAUAGCACAAAAGAUAUAAAGAAAAAGAAAGAUAAUCGUAAGAACCCGCUAUCUAGUAAAAUAAUAUAUAUAUAUAUAUAUAUAUAUAUAUAUAUAUAUAAAUCAAGGUACUGAAUUAACUAAUUUUAACAGAUAUUCUAUAAGAUAAUGAAAUCAAUGUAUAAUGAACUAUAAAUGUAGAAAAGUAAUUAAGUACCUGUUGAUUAUAAAAGAAAGAAAGGAAACAAAAAAGAGUACCUGUAGAGUAACGAUCGUGGUUAACUGGUCCAAAAUCGGGGAUACAAGUGCGUCAGCCAUUGUUGUUCUUACUACUGAAUGUGUCAAGAAAAAGGAGAGAAAGUAAUGGGGCGUUGUUGACUGAUGAAAUGAGAAGUUGAUGAAGAUAGGAAGGAUAGUGAUCGACUGUGGAGUGCCAGAGAAAAUUAAUUUGAGGUUAUUUUCAAUGAAGUUUAGGCAAUAUAUACUGCAAAUUAAGAUAAUUUGCUUAAGACUGAUGCAAGGUUGAUGCAAGCAAAGAAUGAUUCUGAACUUCAGCAUAAAGCAGCUAAUUUCCUACAAGGUUGAUGCAAGCAAAGAAUGUCACUGAAACAACGAGAAAAUAUGCGUAAGAAGGAAAAGGAAAAGGCAAAGGUAAGUCUAGAACUAGCCAUUGCUUCACUUUGGGUUCAAGUAUAAUGCAUCAGUCAUCAGUCAUUUUCCUAUUUGUAUGUUUAUAUGGAAAUGACCUGUCGUUUUGAGUUCCAAAAGUGAAAGGCCCAUUUUUUUGCCUUAAUUUUAAAACAAAUAAAUAAUCAUUAACAUACCUAAAAAUAAAAUUUAAAAAUUAAAAGAUAAAUAUAGAUCAAGAUAUUUAAUUUUACAAGAUGAGACAUUUAUCUAUUUGCUAAAUUUUUUUAUUAAUUUUUUUUAAUUUAAUCAAACAAUAAUAAAAAUAAACAAAUAUAUUAAAUUGAUUGAAUAAAAUAAAAAGAAAACAGGAAUAAUAUGCAAGGCUACACAUAUUAGAAAUAUCAUCUAAAAAAAUUGAUUGAAUAAAAUAAAAAGAAAACAGGAAUAAUAUGUAAGGCUACACAUAUUAGAAAUAUCAUCUAAAAAUAAAUAUUUUUUAUUUUUAAAAAUACAGUUCAUCUAUACAAAAGACAAAAAAAAUUAUAAAUAAAUCAGAAAAAUCUCUUUAAAAAUUAAACAUAUAACAAAAAAAUCAAUAUUAUUUAAAAGAUACUGUCUGAACAAAAUUCUACUGUGGAGCGCAAGAGAAAAUUAAUUUGAGGUUGUUCUCAAUGAAGUUUAGGCAUUGAGAACAAAGAUCAAAUUGGAUGUUUUGCACUUUGGAGUUUGGAUAAUGAUAUUGUAAUGUUUUGAAUUAAUGAGAUAGGAAAAGCCUAGAAACCCCUUGAAGGCUUAGAUGUAGGAAUAAAUUAAAUGAGGGGUAUAGUAGUAAUUGGAUAAAUAGUUGAUAAAUAUAAAUAGGAAGUAAAAAAAUAAAAUAAAUAUAGAAAUCUGAUUUUGAGAGGAAGAGAAUCGGCAGAAGUGAGAAAGGAAAGAAGAAGAAGAGAAAAGAGGGGAAAAUAAGGGGAAAAAGGAAGAGAAUUGGAGGAAAUAAGUGAAAAAGGUAAGAUUUAGGUUGUUUAAUGUGUAUAAUAUGUUAAUUAAGUUUUAAUUUCAGUUUUAUGAAUGUUAGGGUUUUGAGAAUUUGUGUUCGAUUUAAAUGAUGAAUUAAAUUGAAGGUUAGGGGUGAUUGUUGUUGUUUAAUUGAUGAUUUAGUUGAUUAUGGAAGAUUAUGAUGAUUUGAGUUAUAGAAUUGUGUAAAUGGUGAAAAUUGAGUUAGAAAUCAGGGAGAACAGUGGGGUUUCUGUUAAAAUCUGGACUGGAGGUUGAAGAUGACGAAAAAUUCAAUUUGGUCCCUCAAUUCAGAAAAUUACAGUUAGUCCCCGAACUUUGGAAAAUUACAAAUUGGUCCCUGGAGCAUAUUCCGAGAUUCUGAACAGAAUAACAUAUGAAUUAUGGACAUAAUUACUGUAUAGAUAAGAGAAUUUAACACUUUCAAUUUAGUCCUCCAAUUUGACAAAAAGUACAAUUUGACCCUAAAAAUUUAGUAAAAUUCCAGAAUGAUCCCUGAAGCAUAAUGAUACAUCCUGGACAGAAUUGAGGAUUAAUUAAGGUCAGAAUUUCAGUAUAUUCAUGGAUUUAUGACAAAUUUCAGUUUGGUCCUCCAAUUAGACAAAAGUUACAAUUUGGCCCUAAAAAUAUGAUAAGUUCCAGAUUAGUCCCUAGCUGUAAUAUUAGCUUUUGCAGAUUAGUUUGAUGAAUAAUUAAGGGUUAUUUAGUGAAUUAUUACCAAUUUUAUUAGUUGUUUUUAUUAUGGAUUAGAUUUCGGGAAAACCGUUAGAUUUUGGGUUUUUAAGAAAAUUGACUAGUUAGUUCAAAAACAUAUAGGGUUACGGAAUACACCCUUAGUUAAGUGUAUUAAAUAUUAAAUGUUCUUUCGAGUCGUUUUUGAAUAUGUCUCCUUUGUAUUCAGAUAAUCCUGAUAUUCUACCGGCAGGACGUCAGUAGAAUUUCCUUCGGUUUCAGCUUGUGUGUGUUGUUUGCUUUUGAGUCAGGUGAGUGGAUAAUUUUCCAUAUGCAUGAGAAAUAUUAUAAAUAUUUGAUUUGUUAAUAUGAAUUGGAUCAUGCUUCUUGAUAAUAUAUAUGCUGAUUAUUAUCCUUGAUAUGAUAAAGCAUGAUCAAUUAUUGAAUCUGAUUUCUUGAUAUGAACCAAUAUGAUUUGACUUCUGAAUUGAUAGCUCCUCAUUUGAUGGAUGUCAUGAGUUGAGCUUUGAGAUAUGAAUAUGUUUGUUUGAUUAUGAUUAUGAACCUAUGGUAUGUCAGUCAGAAUACCCAUGCUAACAGGGUAGUGUUAGUCUUUGUGCACAUCGUAUCUGAACCCUAGUUGGUCGGGGGAGUCACCAACCUGUGUGGACUGAUCAUCCCACAGUACGGAGCCUCAUGCUCAUUGCAUUUUGAUUUUCUGACGAGUUUUACCAUAUGAUAUUCUUGUUAUGGCCUAUUUGAUAAACCUUCGUAUAAGAACUAAAGCCAUACUUGUAUAUAUAUUUCUCAUUGUUAUAUUACCUCGUAUGUGUAUAUUGAAUGUUAUCUACUCACUGAGUUGUUGAACUCACCCUCUCAUUAUUUAUUCUUUUCAGGCUUAUAGCUUGAUAGCGGGUUACUUUUGUUGAACCUUCCGAACCUGCUUUUGGUUGUAAUUUGUAUCUUUCUUUUUAUGUCAAGUUAGUGCUCCAAAACUAUGAAAAAUUAUUAACUCUUGUAUUAAGACAAUUACAUUAUAUUAUGAAGUUGUUUGUUGUUAAUUAUGCGUUAAACUCUGAUUGAGUUGUUUAAAGGAUUGUAUGUAAGUUUGGGUUCGCAUAGGUUUGGAACCUUGGAGGGGAACCUUGCCUAUGUGCCGGUCAUGGAUCCGGGAUUCGGGUCAUGACAGAUAUUAAUCUUUGUUGUUUGGGGAUUAAGAAUUUGGUGAUAAAUUUCUUGUUGUGAAAUAGUUAUGGUAAAAUAUAAGAUAAAUCCUAGUGAACACGUCUUCCCAAAAUACACUGCGUGUACUGGACUCUCAAUGUUCAUUUUUGCCUCAUUUUGCCUUAAUUAAUUUUAACUGCAAAACAACUAGCUCAGUACCGCACCAGCAAACGAGAAUGGAAAAGCUCACCAAGAUGCCCUCAAAUUAAUGGAGUCAAUGGAGAAAAAAACUGGAGCUGCUGGAGGCCAGACGGCACAUGGUGGAAUAGUUCAUGCCCUGGCAUGCGUCAUCACUGUUCCACCAUGUGCCGUCGCGACCUCCAUUGAACAACAAUGAAAAACAUAUACGAAUUUAGCUUCAUGUCUUUAUAAGAGAAUUUCAUAAACAUACCAUAACAAAAAAUAUCAUAAAAUAAAUCUCUUAAAAAAUAAAAAUACAAUAAACAUGUAGGUUCAUAUUAUAAGAUAAUCAGUUUAUAUAAAUUGUUGACACCCCCAAUCAAUUAAGGAUCAAAUACGAUAUAUAUAAAUAUUAACAAUUAACAAGAUCUUAUUAGCAUGAAUAUUCUAACUAUUAUAUCAUAGGGUUAUAAUCAAACGAACAAAAUCAUUUUCUAAAAGCUCAACUCAUAUAAUUAAUUAAAUAAAAAACUAUCAAUUUAAAAAUACAUAAUUGCUCAAAUCAAGAAAUCUAUCUCAAUAAAUAAUAAUGUUUUAUAGAACAACAGAUAAUAAAUAUUAUAUAAAUUACUAAGAAGUACUAUCAAUUUAAUAUUAAUAAUUUGACUAUUUAUACUACUCCUCUGCAGCAUAUGAGAUAGUAAGUGAUAGAAUGGUCCCCAUGUUAUGGUUUAUAUUUUGCUUUAAACAGAGUAUAGUUGUACUAAAAAUACACCCCUUUCCCGAAAGGAAGGGGAAGAACACAAUCAAGGGAUUUCUUGUUGUUUGACUUCUCAUGUUUCUCUCCCACCACGGGCAACUGUUUAUUUUCGCCAAGGUGAAUUGAGGCUUCAAGUAGAAGAAAUUAUUUACUGGUUAGAAACUUGGUCGAUUUCACUGUUGUCUUUGAGACAAAUGAAACUGAGGUUUUUGGUUUGCAAUUUGGGCAGAUAAGGAUAAUCCUUAUUGUUUGGUGUUUGAGAAUUUGGUGCUAAAUUUCUUGUUGUAAAUUGCAGAAAAUAGUCAGGGUAAAAAUUUAAGAUGAAUGCUAGGGUACACAUCUUCCCAAAAUGCACUGGGUUCUGGAUUCUCAAUGUUCAUCUUGCAGUUUGACAAGAGAAUCUUUCCUUCACUUACACUAUCUUUUUGUUUGUUUGGCCGAUGCAUGAUUUUUUUACCUCAUUUUUCCUUGAUAAAUUCUAACUACAAAACAGCUACUUCACCAACAAGAUGGAAAAGGCUCACCAAGAUGUUCUCUUUGAAAAGAUUCUCAGUGAGUCGUUGACAUCUCAUUUUUGGAAUUUCUCCAAUAGCUUGAUGUCUACUCUCACUAUAUUGAGUAGGAUGACUAUAGAAUUACUCUGAUUUAUCAACACAUAUCAAAUUCUUGCUGCUGCUGAGGAAGAUAUCUGCACUUAGCCAUCAUAGAGGGUAGCGAAUUUUGUGUUGAUGGAAAUUACACUGACUCAUUGUGUACCAUCUAGAAUUCAAUUUUAAAAAAAAUUGCAAGAAAUGUUGUUUUUUCCUAAAUACAUCAAUCGGGUGUGGAUAGCUUGAUUAAAAUGCGACUUACUAAAAAGUCUUGGUCUUAAUAUGCAAAGAUGAUCCAAGUAUACCAUAUUUCUUUUAAAAUAAAACCCACAGAUCUAGUCCACGCAAAGGUACUGGAAUAUGGAUUUGUAAAAAUAAAAAUGAAAAUUUAUACGAAAUUGAAUUGUGCUAAAAAAACCCACAGAUCUAGUCCAUGAUCUACGGCUCCUCCAGAGUUCCGUAGUGGUGUCUUUCUCAACUAUUCUUUAAAUAAAAUGUGUGGGAUGUGAGAAAUCUUGUGCCUAUCUUCACCCCUCUCCUCCUUCCCGUAACGUUUCCUUAGAGAAUUUAUGUAGAGGCGCUGUCAAAACAUAGUCCGGUAGUGCUCUCAACAAUGGGCAUUUGAGAAUUCUAAACUCAACAAGUUGUGGCAUGAUGAAUAUUGAAGUCGUGGUGGAAUCUUCUUCUCCCACUCUCCUUUCAAUCCCAUCCCACUCCUCUAGUUCUUUGAGAUGCCAUAUGCUAAGUCUUUUCAAUUUGGGGAAAGCAGCGACUCUUGCAAUUUCUCCUUCAUUAAUAUUGGUAUUGCCACCAUUUUCUAUGCCUAAAAAUCCACCAUCCAACCUUCUCAGCUUCAUGCUCAUCCAUCUGAAAAUCUUGGAAGAAAGAACGUGCUACUAAGACUUGAAAAUACUCCUCUCCAACAAGCUCCAUACCUCUACUUGGAGUCUCCUUAAGAUAACCUUGAGCCAUCCACAUCUUCACCAACUGGUCUUUUUCCAUCUCGUAGUCUUUUGGAAACACCGUCUUGCCACAGAAGGUAAAUCGUAGUAACUCAAAAGCGGAGGUGGAAAUAGUGCUAUUUCAACAUGUUCUAGCUCCCACAGUUCGCUAGAUAAAACAUGUUCCCACUCUUCUCUUGUUCUUUUACACUGCACUAGACCUCCUAAUACCUUGGCAGCUAGAGACAAGCCCUUGAACUUGCUUGCAAGGAGAUCCCAGGAAGGAACAUCGUAUCUGCUGUAGGCUGUGAGUAUUUUCUUCAGCAUCCCUCAUUUUUCAUGUAAGAAUUGCAGAGCUCCAUUCAUCUAGCACAUCAUCG
This 13235-nucleotide long non-coding RNA is filed under the name Populus tremula. Its description in RNAcentral is "long non-coding RNA (PTRE_LNC003211)". The record is from RNAcentral. Lineage: Eukaryota; Viridiplantae; Streptophyta; Magnoliopsida; Malpighiales; Salicaceae.